This 274-nucleotide ribosomal RNA is filed under the name uncultured bacterium. Its description in RNAcentral is "partial 16S ribosomal RNA". It matches the Rfam family "Bacterial small subunit ribosomal RNA", at positions 523 to 796 of the family's 1533-position model. The record is from RNAcentral.
AUACAGAGGGUGCGAGCGUUAAUCGGAAUUACUGGGCGUAAAGCGCGCGUAGGCGGCUUAUUAAGUCAGAUGUGAAAUCCCCGGGCUCAACCUGGGAACUGCAUCUGAUACUGGUAAGCUAGAGUUUUGGAGAGCGAACUAGAAUUUCAGGUGUAGCGGUGAAAUGCAUAGAGAUCUGAAGGAAUACCAGUGGCGAAGGCGACUUCCUGGCCAAAAACUGACGCUGAGGUGCGAAAGCGUGGGUAGCAAACGGGAUUAGAAACCCUAGUAGUCC